GUUGAUCCUGCGGGAGAUUGCUGCUAUCUGGAUUCGACUAAGGUAUGCAAGUCAGAGGGCCUCUUCGGAGGCACAGGCGAAAUGCUCAGUAACACGUCAAUAAUCUGCCCUUAAGUUUGGGACAACCUCGGAAAACUGAGGCUAAACCCGGAUAGGUAAAAGAAACUGGAAUGUUCUUUUAUUUAAAGGCAACGCUUAAGGAUGAGUUGGCGGCCGAUUAGGCUGUUGGUGGGGUAAAGGCCCACCAAACCUCAGAUCGGUAGGGGCCUUGAGAGAGGGAGCCCCGAGAAGGGUACUGAGACACUGACCCUAGCCCUACGGGGUGCAGCAACUGCGAAACCUUUACACUGUACGCAAGUGCGAUAAGGGAAUCCUGAGUGCUCAUGCAUUGCAUGGGCUUUUGCUAAGAGUAAACAUCUUAGCGAAUAAGUGGUGGGUAAGACGGGUGCCAGCCGCCGCGGUAACACCUGCGCCACGAGUGGCAAUCAUUUUUAUUGGGCCUAAAGCGUUCGUAGCCGGCUUAGUAAAUCUUCUGUGAGAUCGUUGGGCUUAACUUAACGGUAUGCAGGAAAAACUGCUAGGCUUGAGACCGGGAGGGGUUAGGAGAAUUCUUGGGGGAACGGUAAAAUGUGAUAAUCCCAAGAGGACUACCUGUGGCGAAGGCGCCUAACCAGAACGGUUCUGACGGUGAGGGACGAAAGCUAGGGGAGCGAACCGGAUUAGAUACCCGAGUAGUCCUAGCCGUAAACGCUGCGAGUUAGAUGUUGCAUAUUCUACAUGGAUGUGCAGUGUCGGAGCGAAGGCAUUAAACUCGCCGCCUGGGAAGUACGGUCGCAAGGCUGAAACUUAAAGGAAUUGGCGGGGAGACACUACAAGGAGUGGAGCGUGCGGUUUAAUCCAAUUCCACGCGGAGAAUCUCACCAGAGGCGACGGCAGGAUGAAGGUCAGAUUGAAUGUCUUACCUGACGAGCCGAGAGGUAGUGCAUGGCCGCCGUCAGCUCGUACCGUAAGGUGUCCAGUUAAGUCUGGCAACGAGCGAGACCUAUACUUAUAAUUGCUAACAAGUCCUUUAGGAUGAUUGAGCACAUUAUGAGGACUGCUCUGGAAACAGAGAGGAAGGUGUAGGCUACGGUAGGCCUGUAUGCUCCGAAUCUUCUGGGCUACACGCGCGCAACAAUGGUAAGGACAAUGGGAUACAACUCUGAAAAGAGAAGUUAAACCUCGAAACCUUAUCUUAGUUCGGAUUGAGGGUUGUAACUCACCCUCAUGACGCCGGAAUUCCUAGUAAUCAUGGUUCAUCAUACCAUGGUGAAUAUGUCCCUGUCUCUUGCACACACCGCCCGUCAACUCAACCGAGCAAAGUUAAGAUGAUGCUUAAUUUUUAAUUAAGUUGAAUCUUAGCUUAGUGAGGCGGGGUAAGUCGUCACAAGGUC
RNAcentral lists this ribosomal RNA (1433 nucleotides) under metagenome. RNAcentral describes it as "bacterial SSU rRNA". It matches the Rfam family "Archaeal small subunit ribosomal RNA". The record is from RNAcentral.